CGGUUCAAUCCCCAGUGCCGCCAUGAAAAAUAAAUAAAUAAACCUAAUUACUUCCCCCCUAAAACAAACAAACAAACAAACAAAAACCCUAAAAUUCAGAAGCCCUAGCUGUGGCUGCUGGAAGUCGGGAAUACUUACAGAAGUCCUUAAAGCCUUACACGGCCCCUGCCAGCAGUUCUAGAUGGUACCUCCCCACUGGUACCCGGGCCCGUGGCAAAUCAGAGGUGCCAGGCGCUCGCCGCGAGCCUGGGGCCGUGCUGUUGUCAGUGAAGGAGCAGUCCGUGCAUUGCAUCCCUGCCUCCCGGGCGUGUGGCCGUGGAGGACUCCAGGCUGAUGUGUCUGUCUGUCUGUGUGUGUCGCUGCCUUUUGUAUUUGAUGAGGCGGAGGUUGUACCGUUUCUGUUGACAGCAGGGCUUAUUUGCGACUUCCUCCCUGAGGCAGUGCGUCCCGUUUACAGUCUUCUGCAGCUACAGUGGGCACUGUCGCUGUAGGAGGAGCCCGUACAGCCGAGGUGGGCGCAUAGCUGUGGCGCCCUGUAGAGCUGCGGGGCUUGCUCUAGCUGCCGGCUCAAUCUCGCCGUCUGUGUGCGCAGGUUUCUGUGCUCAAAGCCAACUGCAGUCUGAGAUACGCUGUACCGGGGAGUUUCUAAUAUGGUAGAAGGCGACUGUAGACUCAUAUGUAAUCGUGAUCUAUAAUUGUGAACUCAGAACGCAGGUGGGGGUACAAAACGCAUUGUCCUUGAUAAUGAAGAUCCUGUGAACUAGCCUCUUUGAACCGUUUCUCCAGUUGUGGGAAAGUAGAUGGGGCUAGAUUGGCAUGAGGCUGGCAUAUUUGAAACAUUUUUUAUAAAUUACAUGAAAAAUAUGUGUUUAUUGUUUCACCAUCUAGGAAGAAUCAGCAGUAACCAGUAAUACUUCAGAGUAUCUGCUUGCAAUACAUUUUCUGUGCACACAGUAUGCAUUUGUAAAUAUUUGUGUUUAUUUUUAUAAAAAUAGGAUCAUGCUACCUUUCUUUAAUGAAUUCUUUUUCUUUUUUCCUCUUUCACCCCUUGACGGAGGCACUGGGGACUGAGCCCAGGACCUCAUGCGCACCAGGCACGUGCUCUGCCACUGAGCUGCACCCCCAGUCCCGAUACGCUACCUUUCUAAAGCCAGGAUUUUUACUGAGUGAUACCCUGAGUGUCUUUUUGUGUCAACCACUGCGUAAUCUCAGGCUUUACUGUAACUUAUUUAAGCAGGACCUAGUUUUAUGCAGAGUUUUCUCCUCCAGCUUUUUACCACUGUACACAGUGCUGUGAUGAACGUCCUCAUCACCAAAUGUAUAUUGUCUGUCAGAUAAAUUCCUAGAAGUUGUAUGGCGGGGUCACAGGAAGUGCAGAUUUUCUAAGAUGCAGCUCUUUCUAAGAUGCAGCUCUGCCAGAUGGUAUCCCAUUACCUCUCGGCCGCCUUCCGUUUCCACCACUAGGAAGCGAACAGGUGCCCGUUGGCUGAGAUACCCCCUUCGCUGGGCUCUUUUGAAUUUCAAAAGAACUAGAUAAGAGAUUGUCAGCCUGCAUUGGUUUAUGUUCCAAGAACAACUCAAACUAGACGCCAAGCUGAAAGUGGAAGGCCUUAGCAAAUACUUGAUGAUCACUUAAUCCUGUAGCGUCUCGGAAGGGCACUGUCUGUGUACCAGAGUGACAUGAACAGAAGCAUCUGGAUUUGCAGAAAAGCACGUGAAGGGCCAGGCACAGGACUAAAGGCAAUUGAAAUAUGAACUGUAAAUCUCUACGGGUGGUGGGAUGAUGAACUAUUUUUAUGCUAGUCUUUCAUCCUUUUUAUUAAAUGAAGCCUUAUAUAA
Vicugna pacos (alpaca) is the source of this 1839-nucleotide non-coding RNA. Lineage: Eukaryota; Metazoa; Chordata; Mammalia; Artiodactyla; Camelidae. The record is from RefSeq and is a predicted model, not a curated record.